RNAcentral lists this non-coding RNA (161 nucleotides) under human gut metagenome. RNAcentral's name for it is "Lysine riboswitch". It matches the Rfam family "Lysine riboswitch aptamer". Rfam says of the family: Riboswitches are metabolite binding domains within certain messenger RNAs that serve as precision sensors for their corresponding targets. Allosteric rearrangement of mRNA structure is mediated by ligand binding, and this results in modulation of gene expression. This family includes riboswitches that sense lysine in a number of genes involved in lysine metabolism, including lysC. The record is from RNAcentral.
UAUGAUAGAGGUUGCGGCCAACAAGAGUACAUGUCCUCCAUCCGGCAGGCGCCGGGGCAUGGAAAGGGGCGGUCGCCGAAGGGCUUUGCCUGCGCCUGUGCGCAAGGCUCUGGGCCGUGGGAAAACAUCGCACGGACUGUCACGAAAGUGGAGCGCUGUCA